This 1054-nucleotide ribosomal RNA is filed under the name uncultured Nitrosospira sp. Its description in RNAcentral is "bacterial SSU rRNA". It matches the Rfam family "Bacterial small subunit ribosomal RNA", at positions 154 to 1204 of the family's 1533-position model. Lineage: Bacteria; Pseudomonadati; Pseudomonadota; Betaproteobacteria; Nitrosomonadales; Nitrosomonadaceae. The record is from RNAcentral.
AAAGGUGUGCUAAUACCGCAUAAUCUCUGAGGAGAAAAGCAGGGGAUCGCAAGACCUUGCGCUUUUGGAGCGGCCGAUGCCUGAUUAGCUUGUUGGUAAGGUAAAAGCUUACCAAGGCUUCGAUCAGUAGCUGGUCUGAGAGGACGACCAGCCACACUGGGACUGAGACACGGCCCAGACUCCUACGGGAGGCAGCAGUGGGGAAUUUUGGACAAUGGGGGCAACCCUGAUCCAGCCAUGCCGCGUGAGUGAAGAAGGCCUUCGGGUUGUAAAGCUCUUUCAGCCGGAACGAAACGGUUACGGAUAACACCCGUGACUACUGACGGUACCGGAAGAAGAAGCACCGGCUAACUACGUGCCAGCAGCCGCGGUAAUACGUAGGGUGCGAGCGUUAAUCGGAAUUACUGGGCGUAAAGCGUGCGCAGGUGGUUUUGUAAGUCAGAUGUGAAAGCCCCGGGCUCAACCUGGGAACUGCGUUUGAAACUACAAGACUAGAGUGUGGCAGAGGGGGGUGGAAUUCCGCGUGUAGCAGUGAAAUGCGUAGAGAUGUGGAGGAACACCGAUGGCGAAGGCAGCCCCCUGGGUCAACACUGACGCUCAGGCACGAAAGCAUGGGGAGCAAACAGGAUUAGAUACCCUGGUAGUCCAUGCCCUAAACGAUGUCAACUAGUUGUCGGGCCUUUACGGGCUUGGUAACGUAGCUAACGCGUGAAGUUGACCGCCUGGGGAGUACGAUCGCAAGAUUAAAACUCAAAUGAAUUGACGGGGACCCGCACAAGCGGUGGAUUAUGUGGAUUAAUUCGAUGCAACGCGAAAAACCUUACCUACCCUUGACAUGUAUCGAAGCCCGCAGAAAAGCGGGGGUGCCCGAAAGGGAACGAUAACACAGGUGCUGCAUGGCUGUCGUCAGCUCGUGUCGUGAGAUGUUGGGUUAAGUCCCGCAACGAGCGCAACCCUUGUCAUUAAUUGCCAUCAUUUAGUUGGGCACUUUAAUGAGACUGCCGGUGACAAACCGGAGGAAGGUGGGGAUGACGUCAAGUCCUCAUGGCCCUUA